GUGCUCGCUUCGGCAGCACAUAUACUAAAAAUUGGAACAAUAGAGUAGAUUAGAGUAGAUUAGCAUGGCCCUGUGCAAGGAUGACAUGCAAAUUCGUGAAGCAUUCCAUAUUUUU
This 115-nucleotide small nuclear RNA is filed under the name Tupaia belangeri chinensis (Chinese tree shrew). The record is from RNAcentral. Lineage: Eukaryota; Metazoa; Chordata; Mammalia; Scandentia; Tupaiidae.